GGCCGACUUCCUCGGGCACAGGGCCCUCCAGGAGUUUCACGUCCACCUGGCCAGCCUGGACCUUCACGUCGGCGGAAAGGGGCUGAAUGCUGAGGUCAGUGGUCUUGAGGUCCCCCUGCAUGGAGGGGAGGCUCACAUCAGCUUCCACCUUCGGCUCAGACACAUCCACCGAGGCCUCGAUGGACUUGCCUGGGGCCGAC
RNAcentral lists this long non-coding RNA (200 nucleotides) under Homo sapiens (human). Its description in RNAcentral is "HSALNT0216757". The record is from RNAcentral. Lineage: Eukaryota; Metazoa; Chordata; Mammalia; Primates; Hominidae.